GGUCAGGUGGUGUAAUGGUUAACACCCCUGCUAUGUGUGCAGAAGCCCUGGGGUCAAUCCCCAGUCUGGCCA
Non-coding RNA from Hysterangium stoloniferum, 72 nucleotides. The record is from the annotation of a GenBank genome assembly. Lineage: Eukaryota; Fungi; Basidiomycota; Agaricomycetes; Hysterangiales; Hysterangiaceae.